Molecule: long non-coding RNA, 342 nt
Organism: Alosa alosa (allis shad)
Lineage: Eukaryota; Metazoa; Chordata; Actinopteri; Clupeiformes; Clupeidae
Exons: 3
Source: RefSeq, a predicted model, not a curated record
AAAAAAGAAAAGUAGAAGAGGAGAAACGAGCAAAGGAUAAAGGGGCACUUCUAAAAUACUUUGGAGCAUCCUCUGCCACUGCUCAAGAUGAGCCACCCACAGCCCCUGUUUCACAGGAUGAGGAGGAGCCAUCAACCUCAUCAGCUGCACAGGCCUCUUCUGAGGUGGUCCCUGUCCUUGAGGAUGAGCACCAAUCCAUGUCUCCACAAACAUCUCCCUCUACGUCUGCUUCUCCUCAGUAUGAGCCUUCAGAAAUGCCUGGAGCUGAAUGCCCCACUGCUGAGGAGCCUCUGUCAACUGACCCUGCUAAAUGGCCUACACUUCUGACGGACAGGAUUCGGA